GCAUAUCAAUAAGCGGAGGAAAAGAAACUAACAAGGAUUCCCCUAGUAACGGCGAGUGAAGCGGGAAGAGCUCAAAUUUGAAAUCUGGCAGUCUUCGAUUGUCCGAGUUGUAAUCUAUAGAGGCGUUUUCCGUGCCGGACCGUGUCCAAGUCUCCUGGAAAGGAGUAUCAAAGAGGGUGAUAAUCCCGUACUUAACACGACCACCGGUGCUCUGUGAUACGUCUUCUACGAGUCGAGUUGUUUGGGAAUGCAGCUCAAAAUGGGUGGUGAAUUCCAUCUAAAGCUAAAUAUUGGUGAGAGACCGAUAGCGAACAAGUACCGUGAGGGAAAGAUGAAAAGCACUUUGGAAAGAGAGUUAAACAGUACGUGAAAUUGUUGAAAGGGAAACGACUGAAGUCAGUCGUGUUCUUUGGAUUCAGCCAGUUCUGCUGGUCUACUUCCUUGGAACGGGUCAACAUCAGUUUUGCCCGGUGGAUAAAGGUAGUAGGAAUGUGACUUCUCCGGAAGUGUUAUAGCCUAUUAUCACAUACACUGGGUGAGACUGAGGACUGCAGCUCGCCUUUAUGGCCGGCCUUCGGGCACGUUCGAGCUUAGGAUGUUGACAUAAUGGCUUUAAACGACCCGUCUUGAAACACGGACC
Molecule: ribosomal RNA, 640 nt
Filed under: uncultured fungus
Lineage: Eukaryota; Fungi
Description: LSU rRNA
Rfam family: Eukaryotic large subunit ribosomal RNA
Source: RNAcentral